Molecule: non-coding RNA, 98 nt
Organism: Paramuricea clavata
Lineage: Eukaryota; Metazoa; Cnidaria; Anthozoa; Malacalcyonacea; Plexauridae
Source: the annotation of a GenBank genome assembly
AUAUUUCGGAACUGAGCCUAGUUCCUUCGAUACCAAUGUGUUCUUGUGAUGAUGAUCACACAUUGGUAUCGAAGGAACAAGACUCAGUUCCGAAAUAU